RNAcentral lists this long non-coding RNA (1936 nucleotides) under Homo sapiens (human). Its description in RNAcentral is "long non-coding RNA NONHSAT175636.1". Lineage: Eukaryota; Metazoa; Chordata; Mammalia; Primates; Hominidae. The record is from RNAcentral.
CCGUCAGCCCCGUCUCCGUCUGAAGAGUGCUUCUGCCCUCAUUUGCCUCUCCCUGUGACCCCGGCCCCCUCAGACUCCGCUGCGUCGUCUCUCGGCCCCGUCCAGCCGUUCCUGACUGCUCUUCGCCGGAGUCCGCUUCCCAACCCCCUUUCGCCAGAGCCCGAGAGCUCCGUCGGCUCUGCGUCCUGGCGGUGGGGACUCCCCGCGGAGCGCUUGCGCGUGCCAGGCCACCCGGGACUACGUUUCCCAGCGGGCCGAGCGGCCGGCGCCGCGGCUGCGGUCAGGUGACCCGGUCGCCUGGCCGCAGUGAGUCAGGCUGGGAGGGCGGGGCCGCGCCGGCUGCUGCGGCUGGCACUUGGCCCUUUAAUCCCCUUCGUGGGCCCCUCAACCUGGAGCGGAUAAAUUCUUGGCGCUUCUCCGGGGGUUGUGCUCUUCCGUACUCGGAUCGCUUCUUAGGAGUAUCCUAACUGCCGGUGGGGAGAACUUCGCCCUAAACCUGGGGUUCCGAUCCAGGAACUGGAAGUUGACAGCUUGGCUGCCUGGCUCCUGCAUCUGCCUUCUCCACUCACCAUCUCAUUUCUUUCUCCAGGAUUGUCAGUGGCUUCGCCCCGAGGAGAGCUGACUGCCCUGGGCUGCUGCCUCCGGCAGAGCUGAGCCAAAAUGUCCCCGGAAUCUAAAAAGCUUUUCAACAUCAUUAUUUUAGGAGUUGCCUUUAUGUUUAUGUUCACUGCCUUUCAAACUUGUGGAAAUGUGGCGCAAACUGUCAUCAGGAGCUUAAAUAGGACAGAUUUUCACGGCAGUGGAUAUACCAGCAUGGCUAUUAUCUAUGGAGUGUUCUCUGCUUCAAAUUUGAUUACACCGUCAGUGGUUGCCAUUGUAGGACCUCAACUCUCUAUGUUUGCCAGUGGUUUAUUUUACAGCAUGUACAUUGCCGUUUUCAUCCAGCCUUUCCCGUGGUCCUUCUACACAGCCUCUGUUUUCAUUGGAAUUGCUGCUGCUGUGCUUUGGACAGCACAAGGAAACUGCCUGACAAUCAAUUCGGAUGAGCACAGCAUUGGGAGAAACAGUGGGAUUUUCUGGGCACUUCUGCAGUCUAGCUUGUUCUUUGGAAAUCUCUACAUAUAUUUUGCCUGGCAAGGGAAAACUCAGAUAUCAGAGAGUGACCGAAGAACAGUGUUUAUUGCCCUAACGGUGAUUAGCCUUGUGGGGACAGUUCUAUUCUUUCUCAUUCGGAAACCAGAUUCUGAAAAUGUCCUAGGAGAAGAUGAGUCUUCUGAUGACCAGGACAUGGAAGUCAACGAGUCUGCCCAGAACAAUCUGACAAAGGCAGUAGAUGCUUUUAGUAAGUAUUUUCUGUAUCUGAAAUGCAAGAACUGUUCAGGAACAACUCGGCAUUUGCCUUUCCCCUAUUCCCUGGUAACUUUGGAUUGAUGACACCCCAGGGUUUGCAUUUUUCCAGGUAUGCUGCUCUGAAAUAUAUUGAUCUUCCUUAUCAACAUCUCUCUAACAUGGGGGUUGUGAGGGAUGGAUGAUGGUAUGACUGCCCACCUGCCCAGGUGUGUGAGGGAAGUGGAAAGAGGCUGCAUAGCACUCAGGUUCUCCCUGAAGUUGAGAGUCUUCCUGGGAUUUUUGCAGGGUAAUUAAGAGCAGAUUGUGGCUGCGCGCAGUGACUCGCGCCUGUAAUCUCAGCACUUUGGGAGUCCAAGGCAGGCGGAUCACCUGAGGUCGGGAGUUCAAGACCAGCCUGGCCAACAUGGCGAAACCUCUUCUCUACUAAAAAUAUAAAAAAUUUGCCGGGCGUGGUGGCAUGCACCUGUAGUCCCAGCUACUCAGGAGGCUGAGGCAGGAGAAUUGCUUGAACCUGGGAGGUGGAGGUUGUAGUGAGCCGAGAUUGCCCCACUGCACUUCAGCCUGGGUGGCAGAGGGAGACUCCAUC